RNAcentral lists this ribosomal RNA (837 nucleotides) under uncultured bacterium. RNAcentral's name for it is "bacterial SSU rRNA". It matches the Rfam family "Bacterial small subunit ribosomal RNA". The record is from RNAcentral.
AGUUUGAUCCUCGGUCAGAUUGAACGCUGGCGGCACGCCUUACACAUGCAAGUCGAGCGGUCCAAAUGAGGGAGCUUGCUCCCGAAAGACGAGCGGCGGACGGGUGAGUAACGCGCGGGAAUGCGCCCUUUGGCGGGGGACAACCUUGGGAAACCAGGGCUAAUACCGCAUAAUCUCUACGGAGUAAAGCGGGGGAUCUUCGGACCUCGCGCCAUUGGAGCGGCCCGUGUCCGAUUAGUUUGACGGCGGGGUAACAGCCCACCGUGGCUACAAUCGGUAGCUGGUCUGAGAGGAUGAUCAGCCACACCGGGACUGAGACACGGCCCGGACUCCUACGGGAGGCAGCAGUGGGGAAUAUUGGACAAUGGGGGCAACCCUGAUCCAGCGAUGCCGCGUGUGUGAAGAAGGCCUUCGGGUUGUAAAGCACUUUCGCGGGGGAAGAAACUUCGCGCUCUAACAUAGCGCGGCACUGACGGUACCCCGAGAAGAAGCGCCGGCUAACUCCGUGCCAGCAGCCGCGGUAAUACGGAGGGCGCAAGCGUUAAUCGGAAUGACUGGGCGUAAAGCGUGCGCAGGCGGCCGCGGAAGUCGGAUGUGAAAGCCCCGGGCUCANCCCGGGAACUGCGUNCGAAACNCCGCGGCUCGAGUNCGGCAGAGAANGNUGGANUNCCGCGUGUAGCNGUGAAAUGCGUAGAGAUGCGGAAGAAUCACUAUGGCGAAGCAUCCUUCUGGNCCGCACUGACGCUGAGCACGAAAGCGGGGUAGCAACAGGAUAGAUACCCUGUAGUCAAGGCGAUUCUGCGANUCCAUCACACUGCCGCGCUCAGCUGCUCUAGG